This is a long non-coding RNA of Phascolarctos cinereus (koala), 2023 nucleotides long. RefSeq lists it as uncharacterized. NCBI's taxonomy places the organism in Eukaryota, Metazoa, Chordata, Mammalia, Diprotodontia, Phascolarctidae. The record is from RefSeq and is a predicted model, not a curated record.
ACGCAAAGCAAGCAGCUCAGCUCAGCCUGAAGCUCUGCAACCAGUUUUGGGGAGCAAGCAAUGGCCCUGGUUUGUGACCCCAGCCCCCUCCAUCCUCGCCAAGAUCCGGGGAGAGAGCAGAUCCACGGAACCAGAGCUACAGUGAGGUCCACCCCCGACCCGCAGCAAACGUACCUUUGGGAAUGGGCAGUAAACUCAGAAAAGGACAAAGCCUAUUAUGAAGUACGAAUGGCCUAACCAAGGAGGCAGAGCAACUAAUUUCAAUGCAAUUUACAACAGACAUUUAUAAAGCGCCCACUAUGCACAAGACACCAUACUGGGUAAUGAAGAUAUAAAGACAAAAAUGGAACUAUUCCUGCCCUCCAGUAGCUUACAUUCAUACCCUGGCAGAAGAGAUGGACUAUGUCCACAAGUAAAUAUGAAGUAGACACAAAGUAAUUUCAAGAUGGAAAGAAUAUUAAUACCUGGAAGAGAAGCAGAAAAAGGCUCAUGACCUCUGAUGUGAAGGAAGCAAGGAAAUCUAAGAGAUGUAAGAGAAGAGGCAGUGCAUUCAAGAUGUGGGGAACUAUUUCACCUAAGAUACAGAAGAAGUGUGGAAGGUCAUUUCUGGGGAUUUGCCAGCAGGCUGGCCAAAGCCAGUAGGAGUGGGCAGAGGUAUUAGAAGGUCAAAAUAGCUUUCCUUUGGUAGAAGCCCAGUUUUCUUCUUCAAUCUAACACUUAUCCUAAUGCCUGCUUCAGUCAUAGCAUGCAUGUAUAAUUGUGUAUGAGCUGCUUCAUAUGAUUUCAUUUGGCAUCUUCAAAUGUGGUUUUGACCAUUUUACUGCAUAGUGACAUGAUUUUGAAGAAUCCAAUCCCUUUUUAGGCUAAAUUUCUAGUGGGUAACAUGUUUCUAUCAAAAGCAGUCAUUAAUUACUGAAAUCCAAUAAAACAGUUCAGGAAAAGAAAUGAGAAAAUGAUAAGAAAAGAAUAUAUUUGUUGAUAGGGAAGAGGAGAGAGUGUGUAUUCCGGUGUUAGGGCUCCAGGGAAAAGAUAGUGAGAUCUAGGAAAACAAAUCAUGGAUAAUGGAGACUCUAAGCACUGUGUGAUGAAUGAAAAGUCUGAGAAACAUAAUUUAUGGGUAAUUGACAAUCAUUUUAUUAAUUAUGGCUAGCAAAUAAUAAAAAGAUGGUCAUUUGACUUUCAUAAACCAAAGACAAAUCAUGGAGGCUGUUCACACCUUAUGUCCUUAUAUCCUGACAGGUGGAAAUCAACUCUGAUUGGUUAACAAUUAAUAAGAGAAUGAAUAUUAUAAUGAGAGGUGGUCUUAUUAUAAUGAGGGGCUAGGGAAUGUGACCUUUAUUUAUGUCACUCUUAACUCUCAAGUUAGACCAUUCCACCUCAGGCAAGCUACAAAAGGAUCUAUCCUCCAACCAGUCAACCAACAAUGAAAGAUGGUGGAGUAAGUAUUACACCUAGAUUAAGAUGGGGCAAAUUAGGGGGCAAGGUCAGAAAUGUCCUUGAGAAGGUGGGCUUUGAGUGAGGAAAUAGAAGGGAAAAGCCUUAAUCCUAAUUUAAUAAUUGGUUGUUAAUAUAAGAGACAAGCAAUCAUUUCUCUCAACUGGGAUCCACCUAAGUAGGUUUCCCAAAAGCAAUUGGUUUCCUCAAGCAAGGAAGUGGUUCAGACAGAGGAAAAACAUAGGAUUAUAGAUAUGGAAGGUACCUCAAAGAUAAUCUAGUCAUCAUUUUACAGAUGAGAAAACUGAGACCAAAAGCAGUUGAACCUAGGCCUGGUCAUACUUUUUUCCACUGUUCACUGAUGCUACUUCUUUGCCAGAUAUGUAUAUUUCAAGAGUCAAAGAAUUAAACAUAUUGCAAUGCCCUUGGCAGCAAAGUUAAUUCAUAGUGACAGUGGCUUUGGUGAAAGCAAAACUCUAUCUAAGGCCCAUUCCAUAGUAAUCCCAAAAUGUCUGUGGAAUAUGCCUUUUUAUAGCUGUUUUACUAAGAACCCAAGCUUCACGUGUAUUACCUGAGCCAGGGGUGGGGA